UGCACUCGUAGCGCUUCUGACGUAUUCC
This 28-nucleotide small RNA is filed under the name Bombyx mori (domestic silkworm). RNAcentral's name for it is "ovarian small RNA-33479". Lineage: Eukaryota; Metazoa; Arthropoda; Insecta; Lepidoptera; Bombycidae. The record is from RNAcentral.